Molecule: non-coding RNA, 45 nt
Filed under: Schistosoma mattheei
Lineage: Eukaryota; Metazoa; Platyhelminthes; Trematoda; Strigeidida; Schistosomatidae
Source: RNAcentral
AUUCAGCUGACGAGUCCUAAAUAGGACGAAAUGAACGUUUACAAU